CCCUAGCCCCGAUAGUAGCGGCAUCCUCUUGUCUCGCCCCUAAGACGAGACUAGAGAUAUAGCGUCCCGAAGCCUCGGGAGCGGGAAAAUGC
Molecule: unclassified non-coding RNA, 92 nt
Filed under: Flavobacterium flevense
Lineage: Bacteria; Pseudomonadati; Bacteroidota; Flavobacteriia; Flavobacteriales; Flavobacteriaceae
Description: Flavo-1 RNA
Source: RNAcentral